UGUAUCUCACAACGCUACCUACACACACUACCAGGGUUUCUGCUCGAGCAGAUACUGACUCGUUCCGUAGCACAGCAAAAGUGUAUGCAUUAUUUGUUGCUUAGUUUCAGCAGAGAUUCCAAAGCGUUUGGGUGUGUUUUUUUUUCGUAUAACGGGCUGUCACUUUGUAGCUGAGCUGUCAAACGUCACGACCACUGCAAAGACUAAGAAGAAAAAUACACAAAUAAAACCAGAGUGCGUGUGUGUGACUGGAUAAAACGCCACCAGACAAUUAAUGAGAAAAAAAUUUGGCAACUUUUCAAGAAACUAAUUAAAUAAAAGCAAGAAAUAUUAAAAAAAAACGAAAGGUAACUGCGUGGUGACGCGCAUUUGUUGACAUUGAAAUUGUGUCGAAACGCUGGUGUAUCGAGCAAAAGUUUUAUUAAUUUUAAUUUUAAUAGUUGUGUAAUCGCAGCUAAAGUAGCUACAGCAGCAAACGAGUUGACUUUUAAUUAGUGUAACGGCGCAAAAGUACAAUAAAAAAUUAAAAAAAAAAAAAUAGUUAGCGAAAAAAUAGUGAGCUAAUACCUACACACAUACACACAUAUAUUUAAACAAAAAAUACGUAAGCAAGUGUAUUCGCUUCUAUAGAAUCCAAUAAUCGAGCGAGCGAUCGAAGCAGAUAGCUGAAGUUUUACGUACGUAGAACAACCCCCCACCCGCAGCAGCAGCAGCAGCAGCAACGUCGCCGCGACACGUCCAACUCCGACGCAGCAAUACAUACAAGCAAGGCGAAAGAACUGGUAUAUCAAGCAGCAAAUUCUUAGAAUUUAAUCGGCAAAAAUCAGCAAGUGCUGCCACAACAACAAAAACAAUAGCAGAGAAGGUAGGAGCAACAAGAAUUCUCACUGCGAUAACCGCCUAAUCAAGCAAAGCAGAACAACAAAAACAAUUAUCCGCAAUAGAAGCGGUUAACGAAUCUCCCCUGACCCAACAACCUCCGUCUCCCCCCUCCUUCAAGCAAAAUGCAGGCCAUCAAGUGCGUCGUUGUCGGCGAUGGUGCCGUUGGUAAGACUUGCCUACUCAUCAGUUACACAACAAAUGCCUUUCCCGGCGAAUAUAUACCCACCGUAUUUGACAAUUACUCCGCCAAUGUGAUGGUCGAUGCGAAACCCAUCAAUUUGGGUCUUUGGGAUACAGCCGGUCAGGAGGAUUACGAUCGUUUGCGUCCACUCUCCUAUCCGCAGACUGAUGUCUUUCUCAUUUGUUUCUCUUUGGUAAAUCCGGCCUCAUUCGAGAAUGUACGCGCCAAAUGGUAUCCGGAGGUACGUCAUCACUGUCCCAACGUGCCGAUCAUUUUGGUGGGCACCAAGUUGGAUUUGCGCGACGAUAAGGCCACAAUCGAGAAGCUGAAGGAGAAGAAACUCACACCCAUCACCUACCCACAGGGUUUGGCUAUGGCGAAGGAGAUUGGUGCUGUUAAGUAUCUGGAAUGUUCGGCGCUGACGCAGAAGGGCUUGAAAACGGUAUUCGAUGAGGCCAUACGUUCGGUGCUGUGCCCGGUGAUGCGCGUGAAGCGAUCGCGCAAGUGCGAGCUGUUGUAAGACGAUGGUGGGCGUGAGCUGAAAUGUUGGAGGAAGUGACGAAGUUGCAUUUUUUUAUUUUUAUUAUUAUUUUUUUUUGCUUUAAUGGAUCUAAGACAAAAGUCGUACGAAGAGGAUGGAGAUUCAAGCGGAAAGCAAUUUUUGCAAGCAGUCUUGCGGAAGAUAUCAGACAUACAUACAUACGUAUAUUUAUGUGUAUGUAUAUUUAUUUGUGUCAACAAGUAACUAGUUAUUAUACAUAAAAAUUUGAAGAAAAAAAUAAAAAAAACCAAGAAAGUGGAAAACAUCAGUGAAAUUAUAAAAGCAAUUUAAUAACUAAUUAAUGCACUUUGUAACGUUGUACAUAGUAUUUGCGUAACCUAUUUAUGUAAACAAAGGUGCGAAUGUAUGCGUGUACAUAAGCAGCAAAGCGCAUACUUUUCAUUUUUUCAUAUUUUUAUUUUUUUUCUUUUAGUUUUUAUUUGUUUUUCUCUUUAUUUUAUUUUUUCGUUCUUUCGUUAUUAUCGCUUCAUAUAACAAAUAUGGAUACUUCGGUUAAUGUGUGGGGCGCACAGAACAAAAGUAAACCAACAAAAAUGAAAAAAAAAAUCGUACUCAUUGUAAUAAAGUAAUACGACAAAAGCCAGACCAAAGCCGAAGCUUAAUUCAAUUGAUUGCUUUGGAAUUUAUCUCCAGCAAACUGGAACCAGCAGCAGCAGCUGGUUGUGUGUGGGUUGCUGACAGAAGAGAAGCACUUUAAAUGUUUAUUCUCUCGACAAGGCAAUCGAGUGCAGCUGAGAAGAGAGCGUUCUUAAUUUUAUUUGCACAAAUGGACGCUUGGUUUUGUUUGCGAAUAACUAGGAAGGAAAAACUCGAAAUAACCAUUCAUAGAAAUUUUAACCGCUCAGAAAAAAUUUCGAAAUUUUUGAGUUGUUCGAGGCUUUUUCCUUUAGGAAAAAAUAUUUUGAAUUUAAGUUAAAUAUUCUUAAUAGUUUACAGUGACUUUGUGACUCUGCAUCGAAUGAAUAUACUAUGUACAUGUAUUUUGAACAAUUAUUCCUUUUUACCCCGCAGUCCUUAAUUAGGAAAAUAAAGGUUAGUAUCCAUAUGGCUACCAUGGGCACGAAAGGGUUAAGGGAAUACCAGCAAACCGUUUUGAGUAUGAAUUUUAUAGUACAAAGCUAAAGUUAUAAGUAGAUCGUCGCAAUUUAUUGUUUUGAGCGAAAAUAAUCGUGAAAAGUGCGGAGGAAAUGGGACCUAAUAAAAUCUAGGAGAAUAGAAAAAAACCAUUGAACAUUAAUGUUUGAAGAUAAAACAAAAUACAACAACUAAGUUUAUUUGCGGAAAGUAAUACUCGUUAAAGGCAAAAUAUUUAAACUUUUGUGAGAUUUUAUAACACAACAGUGUUGCCAGAUUUUUUUAUUUUUGUCAAAGAACUGUUAAAUUCCGUAAACAAAUGGAUUUUCGACCCUUCAAAAACGAAGAGAAUUUUUAAAAAAUUAAGGCCUUUUAAUUUUAUUAAACAUGAAUAACAAACGAGUAACUUAAAAUAUAAUAUCAUAAACCGUUUAAAUUAUACCAAACUAAAAAAAAAAACUUUAUAAAAUGGAACAUUUAGAUCACAUGUUUAACGAAAUUCAGUUGUAUUAAUUUUUUUUUAUUUAAUACCUCCUGGAGCUUUUUUCCAAGAAAUCUUUAGUCCUUAAAUUACCAGAGAGUUGCCAAUUUAUUUCUUGUUUUAUUCAAAUUGAUUUUGGAAAAUAUUCUUUUCAUAAUUGCUGUGACGACUGGAUUGCAAAGGACCACUGAAACCGUUGGUUUCAAAUGAGGAAACCCUGCUCCUUCAUCGUCCUUUUUAUCUUUAAAAUCUACUUACAAAAAACCGAAAGAGCUGCAAUGCGUUGUUUGGUGCCGUGGAAAGGCGUUAUGAUUGCAAGCACAGACGGCAGCUUUACCAGUAGGAGCUGGAGAAGCGCUACCAAAACUCCAACGGUACUCUGCAGAAAUUCGCUCCCCGAAUUAAGGGAUUGCAAUUCCGGUUUUUUGUCCUCCUUUUUGAGAGGCAGUUUUGUCAAAUUAAAGGACUUCGUCAUUUCCAAAAUUUUCUCCUUGGGAUUUAUUUAACAAUCCCACUUCCGACAUGCGAUUAUCCUUCAAUUCAACUCGUAUUCGUUUCACUGGAUUGUUUAAUAAACGCUCAAUUUGCAGUACAACAGCCAACACCUUAAAAUACAUGUUGAGGCACGUCCUUCUCUUGUGGAACGAUCGGUCAUUCUUCUCUAGUUUGUUUUGACCUGCAAUUCAUGUUUUGAAGAAUUCGCCACACUAUGACUACACAUCUGCGUUCGAUUUGCAAUAAAAAAUUCAAGUAAUUUUCUGUUUUAACCCCGCAAAGUCAUCAGCAGCAAAUCGGAUAUUUAAAUUGAUAGCUCGCACACACGUAAAUACAUAUAUACGAACAUAUAUACACAUUUAGUAAGAAGAUAAAUAAAAAUUUGUAUGUCUGCACUGCACCACCCCCCUGCAACUGUAUUUGUUCAAAUUCAAAAGAAAACUUUCCGGCCAGCAUAUGUUUAGAGAAAAAUUCCGGAAAAUGUGUAAAGUUUAUGUCUUUGGCCUGGUUUUUUUGUUUGCACCCCUAAAGAAAAUCUAUUUAAUUUUUUAAUUUAUUAUGCAAAGAAAAAAUAAAUAUUUAAAUAAAAUUCGAGAAAUUUAUGUAUGUAUUACAUUUUCGGCAUGGCUUUCCAGUAAGUUGCAAAUAUUGUAAUAGCAGAAAAAAAACAAAAACCGUAAAAAAAA
Rhagoletis zephyria (snowberry fruit fly) is the source of this 4361-nucleotide RNA transcript. It is a transcript of the gene named Rac family small GTPase Rac2, with no coding region annotated. The record is from RefSeq and is a predicted model, not a curated record. Lineage: Eukaryota; Metazoa; Arthropoda; Insecta; Diptera; Tephritidae.